Phrynosoma platyrhinos (Desert horned lizard) is the source of this 71-nucleotide non-coding RNA. Lineage: Eukaryota; Metazoa; Chordata; Lepidosauria; Squamata; Phrynosomatidae. The record is from the annotation of a GenBank genome assembly.
GCCAGAGUGGUUUAGUGGCUUCAGUGUUGGACUAGGACUCUGGAGACCAGGCUUCAAAUCCCUGCUCAGCA